RNAcentral lists this ribosomal RNA (500 nucleotides) under Roseobacter denitrificans. Its description in RNAcentral is "bacterial SSU rRNA". It matches the Rfam family "Bacterial small subunit ribosomal RNA", at positions 387 to 905 of the family's 1533-position model. Lineage: Bacteria; Pseudomonadati; Pseudomonadota; Alphaproteobacteria; Rhodobacterales; Roseobacteraceae. The record is from RNAcentral.
UCUAGCCAUGCCGCGUGAGUGAUGAAGGCCCUAGGGUCGUAAAGCUCUUUCGCCAGGGAUGAUAAUGACAGUACCUGGUAAAGAAACCCCGGCUAACUCCGUGCCAGCAGCCGCGGUAAUACGGAGGGGGUUAGCGUUGUUCGGAAUUACUGGGCGUAAAGCGCGCGUAGGCGGAUCAGAAAGUUGGGGGUGAAAUCCCGGGGCUCAACCCCGGAACUGCCUCCAAAACUCCUGGUCUUGAGUUCGAGAGAGGUGAGUGGAAUUCCGAGUGUAGAGGUGAAAUUCGUAGAUAUUCGGAGGAACACCAGUGGCGAAGGCGGCUCACUGGCUCGAUACUGACGCUGAGGUGCGAAAGUGUGGGGAGCAAACAGGAUUAGAUACCCUGGUAGUCCACACCGUAAACGAUGAAUGCCAGUCGUCGGGUAGCAUGCUAUUCGGUGACACACCUAACGGAUUAAGCAUUCCGCCUGGGGAGUACGGUCGCAAGAUUAAAACUCAAA